CAUUUUGGUUUAGUUGCAUACCCUUAUACAUCAUCUUUUUUUAUUUUGAUGAUUUUAGUUUUAUCAAAAUGUUAAAUGAACGAUGUAAAAGAAUAUCAUAGUUAAUUGCAAAUGGUUAUAUUUUGAGGAAUAUGUGAUGUACAAAAGAAAUGAUACAAAGAAUGUAAUGGAAGUUUAUUAAAGUUGAAUGCAUGUAUGUGAUUUAAAUUUAAUCAUAUUACUUGUAUAUUGAUUAGACAGU
This 241-nucleotide long non-coding RNA is filed under the name Ananas comosus (pineapple). RNAcentral describes it as "long non-coding RNA (ACOM_LNC002036)". Lineage: Eukaryota; Viridiplantae; Streptophyta; Magnoliopsida; Poales; Bromeliaceae. The record is from RNAcentral.